Molecule: long non-coding RNA, 1134 nt
Organism: Callorhinchus milii (elephant shark)
Lineage: Eukaryota; Metazoa; Chordata; Chondrichthyes; Chimaeriformes; Callorhinchidae
Exons: 3
Source: RefSeq, a predicted model, not a curated record
UUGCGCUCGGCGCGAGGGUGUGGGUGUGUGUAGAGAGCGAGAGGGCGCGAGAGAGUGUUCGGUGUCAGCGCCGAGUGAGGGUGAAGGAGGAUGGCUGAUUUAUGCACAGCCGAGGUCCCACAAACAUUGAUGAAGGAGACCACAAAAAAUAUUGGACAAGAAAAGGAAUAUUUGACCCAUCAAGCUUAGUCUCCAAACCAAACUACUGAGAUCUACGCAUCUGCAUGGCUUCCAUUUGUCCGGUUUGUUGCUUUAUUGUUGGAAAAGUUCUGCAUAGAGAAGCUCCCUGAACCCUAAAUAAUAACAGUGUGCAUUUAUAUAGCUUCUUUCACGUGGGGGAGCAUCUCAGAACGCUUAGAAUCAAGAACCGCCACCCCCAAAAACAAUUCAAGUCUCCUCAAUCUACAGUGAUCAAAGCAACCAAAGCUUUUUGAAUAUACAGAUGUACUGUAUCUUGUUUUGUCCUAGUAAUAAAGGAUGGCAGUAAUUAUUUAAUGUAAUUAUAAAAUGUAUGCUUUGGGUUGCUUAAAGCAACAAAACUGUCAUAAGUGCGGGGAGAUGUAUCCCAGGAUGAUAAAUGUAUGUGCCCCUAUGAAUAAAACGAAUCUACUCCAACACAAACGGUACUGUAUAAUCUGGCAAAUGUCUAAUUCAUGUCACAGUUAUAGUCUAAAACUGUUCAGUAUCUGGAAGAGUGGAUAUCACUACUCUCUUUCCUCCCUCCUCUGAUGAAAACAAAUACAUUCAUGAUGUCAAAGAGAUGAAUUAGCUGUAUAAUAUUUAACCGAAGAUAAACAUUUGGAAAUGACCAUUCAAUGGGAUGUAAAGUCUCCAGCUUCUCUGUGACUGUGUUUGUGACUGCUGAAAUUAUGGCCUGUGCUGAGGUGGAGAAACCCACAAUUUUUUUUAUUUUCAUACUCUCUGAGGAUCAAUUCAAUUAAUAAAGUAUCUUGGGUUCAUUUGUUGAUUUAACAACAGAGAGGAUUAAAAAUAACCUUAAAUUGGGAACAUUGAACGUGAAGAUGAUGAUGUGCUGUGUGAUUCCAUUAUACAAUCUUGCAGAGAGGCUUGUUUUCCUGCCUCUUAUGUGCUUGGGGUCUGUUGUGUUUAAUUAAAAAUUAAAUUAAUAAAUAA